RNAcentral lists this ribosomal RNA (711 nucleotides) under uncultured yard-trimming-compost bacterium. RNAcentral's name for it is "bacterial SSU rRNA". It matches the Rfam family "Bacterial small subunit ribosomal RNA", at positions 37 to 749 of the family's 1533-position model. The record is from RNAcentral.
UAGCUGGAGGCUUAAUACAUGCAAGUCGAGCGGGAUUGGUAGCAAUACCAUGAGAGCGGCGCACGGGUGAGUAACGCGUACACGACCUACCUCUAACAGGGGGAUAGCCCUGGGAAACUGGGAUUAAUACCGCAUAUAAUUCUGAAGAAUAAAGAUUUGGAAUGAAAGUUCAGGCGGUUAGAGAUGGGUGUGCGUCUGAUUAGCUAGUUGGUGAGGUAACGGCUCACCAAGGCGAUGAUCAGUAGGGGGCGUGAGAGCGUGGUCCCCCACACGGGUACUGAGACACGGACCCGACUCCUACGGGAGGCAGCAGUAAGGAAUAUUGGACAAUGGCCGCAAGGCUGAUCCAGCCAUCCAGCGUGCAGGAAGAAGGCCCUACGGGUUGUAAACUGCUUUUGUCAGGGAAUAAACCUGUGGAUUUACUCCGCAGCUGAAGGUACCUGAAGAAUAAGCACCGGCUAACUCCGCGCCAGCAGCCGCGGUAAUACGGAGGGUGCGAGCGUUAUCCGGAAUUACUGGGUUUAAAGGGUGCGUAGGCGGCUAUGUAAGUCAGGAGUGAAAGUUUGCGGCUCAACCGUAAAAUUGCUUUUGAUACUGCAUAGCUAGAAUCAGGAUGAGGUCAGCGGAAUGUGGCAUGUAGCGGUGAAAUGCAUAGAUAUGCCAUAGAACACCAAUUGCGAAGGCAGCUGGCUAGACCUGUAUUGACGCUGA